RNAcentral lists this non-coding RNA (29 nucleotides) under Rattus norvegicus (Norway rat). The record is from RNAcentral. Lineage: Eukaryota; Metazoa; Chordata; Mammalia; Rodentia; Muridae.
UCACAGAAGUCACCAGUUACUUGUGUCCU